This 214-nucleotide unclassified non-coding RNA is filed under the name plant metagenome. RNAcentral describes it as "partial contains 5.8S ribosomal RNA, internal transcribed spacer 2, and large subunit ribosomal RNA". The record is from RNAcentral.
AGCGUCGGCUGGCACGCGCGCCAUUGCCCCGCCGAGCACGCGAAGCUGCGCAACUGCCACUGGUCCGGUGGACGCUCGAAGGUGUUCCACAAUCGUCUCCGCCACCUGCACGUCGAUCCUGUCGAGGAAAAAUGAGCGCGCGACCUCCUGGGCUGGACCACCUUCAGGAUUCUCCAUAAACUGGUAUAUCUCCGGGUAUCGCAUCGGCUUGACC